UACAGAGGUCUCAAGCGUUGUUCGGAUUAAUUGGGCGUAAAGGGUGCGUAGGCGGCGCGGUAAGUCGGGUGUGAAAUCUUGGAGCUUAACUCCGAAACUGCAUUCGAUACUGCCGUGCUUGAGGACUGGAGAGGAGACUGGAAUUUACGGUGUAGCGGUGAAAUGCGUAGAUAUCGUAAGGAAGACCAGUGGCGAAGGCGGGUCUCUGGACAGUUCCUGACGCUGAGGCACGAAGGCCAGGGGAGCAAACGGG
Molecule: ribosomal RNA, 253 nt
Filed under: uncultured bacterium
Lineage: Bacteria
Description: partial 16S ribosomal RNA
Rfam family: Bacterial small subunit ribosomal RNA
Source: RNAcentral